AGUGAACGCUGGCGGUAGGCCUAACACAUGCAAGUCGAACGGCAGCACAGUAAGAGCUUGCUCUUACGGGUGGCGAGUGGCGGACGGGUGAGGAAUACAUCGGAAUCUACUUUUUCGUGGGGGAUAACGUAGGGAAACUUACGCUAAUACCGCAUACGACCUACGGGUGAAAGCAGGGGAUCUUCGGACCUUGCGCGAUUGAAUGAGCCGAUGUCGGAUUAGCUAGUUGGCGGGGCAAAGGCCCACCAAGGCGACGAUCCGUAGCUGGUCUGAGAGGAUGAUCAGCCACACUGGAACUGGGACACGGUCCAGACUCCUACGGGAGGCAGCAGUGGGGAAUAUUGGACAAUGGGCGCAAGCCUGAUCCAGCCAUACCGCGUGGGUGAAGAAGGCCUUCGGGUUGUAAAGCCCUUUUGUUGGGAAAGAAAAGCAGCAGGUUAAUACCCCGCUGUUCUGACGGUACCCAAAGAAUAAGCACCGGCUAACUUCGUG
Molecule: ribosomal RNA, 492 nt
Filed under: uncultured bacterium
Lineage: Bacteria
Description: partial 16S ribosomal RNA
Rfam family: Bacterial small subunit ribosomal RNA
Source: RNAcentral